Molecule: long non-coding RNA, 532 nt
Organism: Ornithodoros turicata
Lineage: Eukaryota; Metazoa; Arthropoda; Arachnida; Ixodida; Argasidae
Exons: 3
Source: RefSeq, a predicted model, not a curated record
UGAUUUCGCACGCCAAGGAUACAGCUACAGCCAGACCCCAGACGAAGCGAAAGUUGGAAGCAGCUACAUCACUAGCGGGUAUCCAGAUGAAGCAAGGAGUGUUCAUGCUGUCCGUGUAUGCUCCUCGCAUUUCACCGAUAAUGUGUACCUGGAUGAGAACAUCAUGGAAGUGCAACUUGGAUUGACACAAAAAAGGAACGAAUUGAAACUUGACGCCGUUCCGACAGUGUUCCACGAACAAAGCGAGCCAGCAACUUCGACACUGCAGGCAGUUCGACAGGGUCAAGCGCAAGUGAAGGACCAGGUGCUGCUGAUCAAGUCCCAUCCAUCCAUGAAACGGCAUCAAACAAUGUACGUGUGUGCACGGCAAUUUUGCUGAGAGACCUGCUUUUUACACUAAUGCCUUUACGACGCCUCUGACAAAUUAGGAUCUUCCAGAACAGUGCUUUCUUCAUCCAAGUUCAAGAAGUAAAGAGAAUGACUUCAUGGCUUCUACUGACAUCUCACAGCUACAUGCCAAGACAAAAUAACU